RNAcentral lists this unclassified non-coding RNA (351 nucleotides) under soil metagenome. RNAcentral's name for it is "partial contains 5.8S ribosomal RNA, internal transcribed spacer 2, and large subunit ribosomal RNA". The stretch from base 1 to 120 matches the Rfam family "5.8S ribosomal RNA", at positions 35 to 154 of the family's 154-position model. The record is from RNAcentral.
GAUGAAGAACGUAGCAAAAUGCGAUAAGUAAUGUGAAUUGCAGAAUUCAGUGAAUCAUCGAAUCUUUGAACGCACAUUGCGCCCGCCAGUAUUCUGGCGGGCAUGCCUGUUCGAGCGUCAUUACAACCCUCAGGCCCCCGGGCCUGGCGUUGGGGAUCGGCGGAGCCCCCCGUGGGCACACGCCGUCCCCCAAAUACAGUGGCGGUCCCGCCGCAGCUUCCAUCGCGUAGUAGCUAACACCUCGCGACUGGAGAGCGGCGCGGCCACGCCGUAAAACACCCAACUCUUCUGAAGUUGACCUCGAAUCAGGUAGGAAUACCCGCUGAACUUAAGCAUAUCAAAAGCGGAGGA